GAUGAAGAACGCAGCGAAAUGCGAUAAGUAAUGUGAAUUGCAGAAUCCAGUGAAUCAUCGAAUCUUUGAACGCACAUUGCGCCCGCCAGCAUUCUGGCGGGCAUGCCUGUUCGAGCGUCAUUUCAACCCUCGACCUCCCCUUGGGGAGGUCGGCGUUGGGGACCGGCAGCACACCGCCGGCCCUGAAAUGGAGUGGCGGCCCGUCUGCGGCGACCUCUGCGUAGUAAUACAGCUCGCACCGGAACCCCGACGCGGCCACGCCGUAAAACACCCAACAUCUGAACGUUGACCUCGAAUCAGGUAGGACUACCCGCUGAACUUAAGCAUAUCAAUAAGCGGAGGA
This 343-nucleotide unclassified non-coding RNA is filed under the name soil metagenome. RNAcentral's name for it is "partial contains 5.8S ribosomal RNA, internal transcribed spacer 2, and large subunit ribosomal RNA". The stretch from base 1 to 120 matches the Rfam family "5.8S ribosomal RNA", at positions 35 to 154 of the family's 154-position model. The record is from RNAcentral.